RNAcentral lists this ribosomal RNA (433 nucleotides) under uncultured bacterium. RNAcentral describes it as "partial 16S ribosomal RNA". It matches the Rfam family "Bacterial small subunit ribosomal RNA", at positions 29 to 507 of the family's 1533-position model. The record is from RNAcentral.
AACGAACGCUGGCGGCAUGCCUAACACAUGCCAGUCGAACGAGACCUUCGGGUCUAGUGGCGCACGGGUGCGUAACGCGUGGGAACCUGCCCUUAGGUUCGCAAUAACUCCCCGAAAGGGGUGCUAAUACCGGAUAAUGUCUUCGGACCAAAGAUUUAUCGCCUUUGGAUGGGCCCGCGUUGGAUUAGCUAGUUGGUAGGGUAAAAGCCUACCAAGGCGACGAUCCAUAGCUGGUCUGAGAGGAUGAUCAGCCACACUGGGACUGAGACACGGCCCAGACUCCUACGGGAGGCAGCAGUGGGGAAUAUUGGACAAUGGGCGGAAGCAUGAUGCAGCAAUGCCGCGUGAGUGAUGAAGGCCUUAGGGUUGUAAAGCUAUUUUACCCGGGAUGAUAAUGACAGUACCGGGAGAAUAAGCACCGGCUAACUCCGUG